UUAAGCAUAUCAAUAAGCGGAGGAAAAGAAACUAACAAGGAUUCCCCUAGUAACUGCGAGUGAAGCGGGAAGAGCUCAAAUUUGAAAUCUGGCGGUUCUGCCGUCCGAGUUGUAAUCUGGAGAAGCGUUUUCCGUGCCGGACCGUGUACAAGUCCCUUGGAACAGGGCGUCAUAGAGGGUGAGAAUCCCGUCUUUGACACGGACUCCCGGUGCUCUGCGAUGCGCUCUCGAAGAGUCGAGUUGUUUGGGAAUGCAGCUCAAAAUGGGUGGUAAAUUCCAUCUAAAGCUAAAUAUUGGCGAGAGACCGAUAGCGAACAAGUACCGUGAGGGAAAGAUGAAAAGCACUUUGGAAAGAGAGUAAAACAGUACGUGAAAUUGUUGAAAGGGAAACGCUUGGAGUCAGUCGCGUCUUCCGGAACUCAGCCUUGCUUCUGCUAGGUGCACUUUCCGGUUCGACGGGUCAGCAUCGGCUUUGGGAGGCGGACAAAGGCGCGGGGAAGGUGGCAGCUCCGGCUGUGUUAUAGCCCCGCGUUGUACGCGUCUCCCGGGACCGAGGAAUCCGGCGCUCGUCGCCUGGGAUGCUGGCGUAAUGGCUUUAAGCGACCCGUCUUGAAACACGGACCAAGGAGUGCUACAUGCUCGCGAGUGUUUGGGUGGAAAACCCGAGCGCGCAAUGAAAGUGAAAGUCGAGACCCUUUGCGGGGGCACCGACGCCCGAGCCUGAAGUUUACGGACGGCCUUGCGGUAGAGCGAGUAUGUUGCGACCCGAAAGAUGGUGAACUAUUCCUGAGGAGGGCGAAGCCAGAGGAAACUCUGGUGGAGGCUCGUAGCGGUUCUGACGUGCAAAUCGAUCGCAGGACUUGGGUAUAGGGGCGAAAGACUAAUCGAACCAUCUAGUAGCUG
Molecule: ribosomal RNA, 903 nt
Filed under: Subulicystidium perlongisporum
Lineage: Eukaryota; Fungi; Basidiomycota; Agaricomycetes; Trechisporales; Hydnodontaceae
Description: partial large subunit ribosomal RNA
Rfam family: Eukaryotic large subunit ribosomal RNA
Source: RNAcentral